AUUGACCGCUGGCGGCAGGCCUAACACAUGCAAGUCGAACGAGUGGCGGACGGGUGAGUAAUGCUUGGGAAUCUAGCUUAUGGAGGGGGAUAACUACGGGAAACUGUAGCUAAUACCGCGUACCAUCGGAUGUGCCCACUUGGGAUUAGGUAGUUGGUGAGGUAAAGGCUCACCUAGCCGACGAUCGCUAGCUGGUCUGAGAGGAUGACCAGCCACACUGGGACUGAGACAUGGCCCAGACUCCUACGGGAGGCAGCAGUGGGGAAUAUUGCACAAUGGGCGCAAGCCUGAUGCAGCCAUGCCGCGUGUAUGAAGAAGGCCUUCGGGUUGUAAAGGACUUUCAGUCGGGAGGCGUUACCGGCAGAAGAAGCACCGGCUAACUCCGUGCCAGCAGCCGCGGUAAUAC
RNAcentral lists this ribosomal RNA (406 nucleotides) under uncultured bacterium. RNAcentral describes it as "partial 16S ribosomal RNA". It matches the Rfam family "Bacterial small subunit ribosomal RNA", at positions 30 to 526 of the family's 1533-position model. The record is from RNAcentral.